RNAcentral lists this unclassified non-coding RNA (242 nucleotides) under Helotiales sp. RNAcentral's name for it is "partial contains small subunit ribosomal RNA, internal transcribed spacer 1, and 5.8S ribosomal RNA". The stretch from base 1 to 46 matches the Rfam family "Eukaryotic small subunit ribosomal RNA", at positions 1786 to 1831 of the family's 1831-position model. The record is from RNAcentral. Lineage: Eukaryota; Fungi; Ascomycota; Leotiomycetes; Helotiales.
AAGUCGUAACAAGGUCUCCGUAGGUGAACCUGCGGAGGGAUCAUUACAGAGUUCAUGCCCUCACGGGUAGAUCUCCCACCCUAUGUUAUCAUACCUUUGUUGCUUUGGCGGGCCGUUACCUCACGGCUAACCACCGGCUCCGGCUAGUGUGUGCCCGCCAGAGGACCCCAAACUCUGAAUAUUAGUGUCGUCUGAGUACUAUAUAAUAGUUAAAACUUUCAACAACGGAUCUCUUGGUUCUG